Molecule: ribosomal RNA, 2833 nt
Filed under: gut metagenome
Description: bacterial LSU rRNA
Rfam family: Bacterial large subunit ribosomal RNA
Source: RNAcentral
UCAAGCGAACAAGGGCGCAGGGCGAAUGCCUUGGCACUGGGAGCCGAUGAAAGACGUGAUAAGCUGCGAUAAGCUUCGGGGAGCUGCAAAUAAGCAUUGAUCCGGAGAUUUCUGAAUGAGGAAACUCACCUGGGUUCAUACUCAGGUACGUUAUACUGAACUUAAAAAUAGGUAUAUCGAGGGAACCGCCUGAACUGAAACAUCUAAGUAGGGCGAGGAAGAGACAUCAAACGAGAUUCCGUAAGUAGUGGCGAGCGAACGCGGAAGAGGGCAAACCGGAAGUAGAAAUACUUCCGGGGUACGGACCGCAUUUAGGACUUGAGUUGUUAACCGAACGGCAUGGGAAGGCCGGUCAGAGAGUGUGAGAACCACGUAGGUGAAAACGACAAGAGCUGAGCGAGUUCCAGAGUACGGCCAGACACGUGAAACCUGGUCGGAAUACGGGGGGAUCACCCUCCAACCCUAAAUACUACCCAGUGACCGAUAGCGUAUAGUACUGUGAAGGAAAGGUGAAAAGCACCCCGGGAGGGGAGUGAAAAAGAACCUGAAACCCUGUGCCUACAAGCACCUAGAGCACGUCAAUGUGUGAUAGGGUACUUUUUGUAGAACGGUCCGGCGAGCGAUUGUAUGCAGCAAGGUUAAGGACUUAAGGUCUGGAGCCGAAGCGAAAGCGAGUUUGAAAAGGGCGUUAAGUUGCAUACAAUGGGCCCGAAACCGGGUGACCUACCCAUGGUCAGGUUGAAGUGGAAGUAAAAUUCCAUGGAGGACCGAACCGACCUCCGUUGAAAAGGCGGCGGAUGAACUGUGGGUAGCGGAGAAAUUCCAAUCGAACCCGGAGAUAGCUGGUUCUCCCCGAAAUAGUUUUAGGACUAGCCUCAAGUUAGAUACCUGGAGGUAAAGCACUGAAUAGCCUAGCGGCCGAGAGGUUAGCGAAGCUUAUCAAACUCAGAAUGCCAGAGUAUUGAUGCUUGGGAGUCAGACAGUGUCAGAUAAAUGUCAUUGUCAAAAGGGAAACAGCCCAGAUCUACAGCUAAGGUCCCAAAGUCAGGUUAAGUGGAAAACGAUGUGAAGAUACGUAGACAACCAGGAUGUUGGCUCAGAAGCAGCCACACAUUCAAAGAGUGCGUAAUAGCUCACUGGUCGAGCGUCUUUGCGCGGAGAAUUUAACGGGGCUAAACCUGACACCGAAGCUUAGGCAAUACAGCAAUGUAUUGGGUAGGGGAGCGUUGUAUACGCGGUGAAACAGUAGCGCAAGCGGCUGUGGAGUGUAUAGAAGUGAGAAUGCCGGAAUGAGUAGCGCGAAUGCAGUGAGAAUCUGCAUGGCCGAAAGCCUCAGGUUUCUGGAGGAAGGUUCGUCCGCUCCAGGUUAGUCGGGAGCUAAGGUGAGGCCUAACGGCGUAGCCGAUGCACAGACGGUAGAGAUUCCGUCACCACCAAAAGAGUUAAACACAGGGACACAUUUGAAGUCUCGGAGCCGGGUGUUGGUUCCGGUAGCGAUCGAGGGAAGUUAGUACCGAAGUCCGGGAUGGAAGAUGGCGAGAAAAGCUGUGUGUAUUUCUGCGGUGCCCGUACCGCAAACCGACACAGGUAGGUAGGAAGAAGAUUCUAAGGCCAACGGGAGAAGGGUUGUUAAGGAACUCGGCAAAUUGACCCCGUAACUUCGGGAGAAGGGGUGCUCCAGAGAUGGAGCCGCAGAGAAUCGGCCCAAGCAACUGUUUACCAAAAACACAGGUUUGUGCUAAAUCGAAAGAUGACGUAUACGAGCUGACGCCUGCCCGGUGCUGGAAGGUUAAGAGGAGAUGUGCAAGCAUUGAAUCGAAGCCCCAGUGAACGGCGGCCGUAACUAUAACGGUCCUAAGGUAGCGAAAUUCCUUGUCAGGUAAGUUCUGACCCGCAUGAAAGGCGUAAUGAUUUGGGCACUGUCUCGACAGCCCGCCCGGCGAAAUUGUAGUACCGGUGAAGAUGCCGGUUACCCGCGACAAGACGGAAAGACCCCAUGGAGCUUUACUGUAGCCUAAUAUUGGGUUUCGAUGUUGCAUGCACAGGAUAGAUGGGACACAGGGAAACAAGUGCUUUGGCAUUUGUGGAGUGGCCGUUGGGAUACCAUCCUUGCGAUAUUGGAAUUCUAACCUGCGCCUUUGAAUCAAGGCGGGGGACAUUGUUAGGUGGGCAGUUUGACUGGGGCGGUCGCCUCCUAAAGAGUAACGGAGGCGUUCAAAGGUUCGCUCAGCUUGAACGGAAAUCAAGCAAAAGAGUGCAAACGCAGAAGCGAGCCUAACUGCGAGACUGACGGGUCGAGCAGUAACGAAAGUUGGAGUUAGUGAUCCGGUGGUAUGUGAGUGGAAAUGCCAUCGCUCAACGGAUAAAAGUUACCCUGGGGAUAACAGGCUGAUCUCCCCCAAGAGUCCACAUCGACGGGGAGGUUUGGCACCUCGAUGUCGGCUCAUCGCAUCCUGGGGCUGUAUUCGGUCCCAAGGGUUUGGCUGUUCGCCAAUUAAAGCGGUACGCGAGCUGGGUUCAGAACGUCGUGAGACAGUUCGGUCCCUAUCUGUCGUGGGCGCAGGAUAUUUGAUGGGAGCUGUUCCUAGUACGAGAGGACCGGAGCGGACGUACCUCUGGCGCACCAGUUGUUCUGCCAAGGGCAUAGCUGGGCAACUAUGUACGGAUCGGAUAAACGCUGAAAGCAUCUAAGCGUGAAGCCGACCCAAAGAUAAGAUAUCCCAUUGUUUCAAACAAGUAAGACCCCUUGAAGACUACAAGGUUGAUAGGCACGAUGUGUAAGUGGAGUGAUCCAUUCAGCAAGCGUGUACUAAUAGGUCGAGGGCUUGACCAC